RNAcentral lists this small RNA (601 nucleotides) under Malus domestica (apple). RNAcentral describes it as "sRNA MD09G0151800". Lineage: Eukaryota; Viridiplantae; Streptophyta; Magnoliopsida; Rosales; Rosaceae. The record is from RNAcentral.
UUUUAUCCUAAUCCCAAUAUUCUCAAAUGCAGAGGCUCAGACAUAGUCAUUUGGUUUCCCUUUCCUCCUGACUUGCUCUCACCAUCCCAGUUCACACUGCGAUCUCUCCUCCUGACUUGCUCUCACCAUCCCAGUUCCGUUCGCCGCCAUGAUCAUCAGACCUCAAUCCAAGUUGCAGGAAAAUCGGGUGGCAUAUGGGAGUUGCAGUCGCAAGAAGAUGAACUAAUAUUGGUCAUGGUUGUUACAAACUUGGAUGCACUUGCCUUAAAAUAAAGUAGCAUAUGUGGACGAGGCUUACACAUAUCUAUACAUAAGUAUAUUUGUCCAAUCAGUGCCGACCUACUGAAUAUUAGUCAGUGGCAAAGAUGGAUGCCCUCACUUAAAUUGAUUCUUAUUUCGUUGAAGUUAUUGGUUCCUAUUUUCAUUUUACAAAAAAGAAAGAAGCAAAGUUUUUUUCAUGUGUUUUUCUUUUACUAAGAGCCACUGUUAGUGUGAAACCUAUAGCUUGGUGUUUUCUUUGUCUUUAGUAGGCGUUGUAUAAGAUAGAAUUGACAGUGUUUUGUGUCACUUCUGUUUUGUUUUUGUCUGUGAUGAUAUUUCA